RNAcentral lists this ribosomal RNA (394 nucleotides) under uncultured bacterium. RNAcentral's name for it is "partial 16S ribosomal RNA". It matches the Rfam family "Bacterial small subunit ribosomal RNA", at positions 338 to 729 of the family's 1533-position model. The record is from RNAcentral.
CCUACGGGUGGCAGCAGUGAGGAAUAUUGGUCAAUGGGCGUAAGCCUGAACCAGCCAAGUCGCGUGAGGGAAGACGGUCCUAUGGAUUGUAAACCUCUUUAGGCGGGGAGCAAUGCCGUGCACGCGUGCCCGGAUGGAGAUUACCCGUAGAAUAAGCAUCGGCAAAUCCCGUGCAAGCAGCCGCGGUAAUACGGGGGAUGCGAGCUUUAUCCGGAUUUUUUGGGUUUAAGGGGUGCUAAGGCGUAUUUUUAAUUCAGCGGUAAAAUGUCCGGGCUCAACCCGGGCCGGCCGUUGAAACUGGGGAUCUUGAGUGGGCGAGAAGUAUGCGGAAUGCGUGGUGUAGCGGUGAAAUGCAUAGAUAUCACGCAGAACUCCGAUUGCGAAGGCAGCAUAC